RNAcentral lists this unclassified non-coding RNA (169 nucleotides) under soil metagenome. RNAcentral describes it as "partial internal transcribed spacer 1". The record is from RNAcentral.
CAGAGUUGCAAGACUCCCUAACCAUUGUGAACCUACCUUCUACCGUUGCUUCGGCGGGGCCGGGGCACCAGCGCCGCCCCGGCCCCCUCUCGGGGGCCCGGCAAGCCGGAGGAUACCCGAAACCCUUGUACAUUAGUGGCCUCUCUGAGUAAUUCUUACUAAUAAGUCA